Molecule: ribosomal RNA, 253 nt
Filed under: uncultured bacterium
Lineage: Bacteria
Description: partial 16S ribosomal RNA
Rfam family: Bacterial small subunit ribosomal RNA
Source: RNAcentral
UACGUAGGGGGCAAGCGUUGUCCGGAAUCAUUGGGCGUAAAGAGCGUGUAGGCGGCCCGAUAAGUCCGCGGUGAAAGUCCAGGGCUCAACCUCGAGACGCCGAUGGAAACCAAUUGGCUAGAGUCCGGAAGAGGAGAGUGGAAUUCCCGGUGUAGCGGUGAAAUGCGCAGAUAUCAGGAAGAACACCCGUGGCGAAGGCGGCUCUCUGGGACGGUACUGACGCUGAGACGCGAAAGCGUGGGGAGCGAACAGG